Molecule: small nuclear RNA, 141 nt
Organism: Saimiri boliviensis boliviensis (Bolivian squirrel monkey)
Lineage: Eukaryota; Metazoa; Chordata; Mammalia; Primates; Cebidae
Gene: U4
Rfam family: U4 spliceosomal RNA
About the family: U4 small nuclear RNA (U4 snRNA) is a component of the major U2-dependent spliceosome.
Source: Ensembl
GGUUUUGCACAAUGGCAAUAUCAUAACCAAUGAGGUCUAUCUGAGGCGUAAUUAUUGCUAAUUGAAAACUUUUCCCAAUACCCUGCCAUGACGACUUGAAAUAUAGUCGGCAUUAGCAAUUUUUGACAGUCUCUACAGAGA